UACGGAGGGGGCUAGCGUUGUUCGGAAUUACUGGGCGUAAAGCGCACGUAGGCGGAUCAGUCAGUUAGAGGUGAAAGCCCAGGGCUCAACCCUGGAACUGCCUUUAAUACUGCUGGUCUGGAGUCCGAGAGAGGUGAGUGGAAUUCCGAGUGUAGAGGUGAAAUUCGUAGAUAUUCGGAGGAACACCGAUGGCGAAGGCAGCCUCCUGGGCCAACACUGACGCUCAUGCACGAAAGCGUGGGGAGCAAACAGG
This 253-nucleotide ribosomal RNA is filed under the name uncultured bacterium. Its description in RNAcentral is "partial 16S ribosomal RNA". It matches the Rfam family "Bacterial small subunit ribosomal RNA", at positions 524 to 776 of the family's 1533-position model. The record is from RNAcentral.